RNAcentral lists this ribosomal RNA (497 nucleotides) under uncultured bacterium. RNAcentral describes it as "partial 16S ribosomal RNA". It matches the Rfam family "Bacterial small subunit ribosomal RNA", at positions 28 to 507 of the family's 1533-position model. The record is from RNAcentral.
GAUGAACGCUGGCGGCGUGCCUAAUACAUGCAAGUCGAGCGAACAGACGAGGAGCUUGCUCCUCUGACGUUAGCGGCGGACGGGUGAGUAACACGUGGAUAACCUACCUAUAAGACUGGGAUAACUUUGGGAAACCGGAGCUAAUACCGGAUAAUAUAUUGAACCGCAUGGUUCAAUAGUGAAAGACGGUUUUGCUGUCACUUAUAGAUGGAUCCGCGCCGCAUUAGCUAGUUGGUAAGGUAACGGCUUACCAAGGCAACGAUGCGUAGCCGACCUGAGAGGGUGAUCGGCCACACUGGAACUGAGACACGGUCCAGACUCCUACGGGAGGCAGCAGUAGGGAAUCUUCCGCAAUGGGCGAAAGCCUGACGGAGCAACGCCGCGUGAGUGAUGAAGGUCUUCGGAUCGUAAAACUCUGUUAUUAGGAAAGAACAAAUGUGUAAGUAACUAUGCACGUCUUGACGGUACCUAAUCAGAAAGCCACGGCUAACUACGUG